UAAUACGUAGGAUGCAAGCGUUGUCCGGAAUUAUUGGGCGUAAAGAGUUCGUAGGUGGUUAUCUAAGUCUGGUGUUAAAGCCCGGAGCUCAACUCCGGCAUGGCAUUGGAAACUGGAUGGCUAGAGUGUGGAAGAGGUAACUGGAAUUCCUGGUGUAGCGGUGAAAUGCGCAGAUAUCAGGAGGAACACCCGUGGCGAAAGCGAGUUACUGGUCCACUACUGACGCUGAGGAACGAAAGCCAGGGUAGCAAAAGGGAUUAGAUACCCCUGUAGUCCUGGCCGUAAACGAUGGAUACUAGGUGUUGGAGGUUUCGACCCCUUCAGUGCCGUAGCUAACGCGAUAAGUAUCCCGCCUGGGGAGUACGACCGCAAGGUUG
RNAcentral lists this ribosomal RNA (377 nucleotides) under uncultured bacterium. RNAcentral describes it as "bacterial SSU rRNA". It matches the Rfam family "Bacterial small subunit ribosomal RNA", at positions 521 to 896 of the family's 1533-position model. The record is from RNAcentral.